CUAUCUACAUAAUAUGUAAUUAUUUUCUGCAAGCGUGGAUCAAAACACAAAAAAUAACAAUAACUCAGAGCGUGCUGAUGGAGUCUUUGAUCAAUCAAAGGGUAAAACACUGAUUCUGUGAAAAGUCUGAGCUGGCUAGCCCCAGCGCCUUGCUAGAGUUUGUAUGUUUGAGAGAGUCACAAUUGCAGUUUAAAAGCUUAAGGGGAAAAAAAAUCAUCAGGGUCAAUUAGGAAAUAAAGGUCACUAAACUGCCCAGGAUACAACUUCCCUUUCCUUCCACCCAGGUCCUGGGCUGUCUGUGGUGGCACCUCGUUCGACCUCUCUGGGUAAGAGGACCCUGAAGGCAGCUCCCGCCUGGCACCAGAAGAGACGUCAUCUCAUUGCAGUAAUCGUUGCCUGCAAAGUAACCAGACGACUGUGAGAUGGGUAUGUCAUUGCAGUUCAAA
This 446-nucleotide long non-coding RNA is filed under the name Falco tinnunculus (common kestrel). Its description in RNAcentral is "lncRNA (ENSFTIG00000015379.1)". Lineage: Eukaryota; Metazoa; Chordata; Aves; Falconiformes; Falconidae. The record is from RNAcentral.